Molecule: ribosomal RNA, 254 nt
Filed under: uncultured bacterium
Lineage: Bacteria
Description: partial 16S ribosomal RNA
Rfam family: Bacterial small subunit ribosomal RNA
Source: RNAcentral
UACGUAGGGGGCAAGCGUUGUCCGGAUUCAUUGGGCGUAAAGAGCUCGUAGGCGGUUCAGUAAGUCGGGUGUGAAAGCUCCGAGCUCAACUCGGAGAGGCCACCCGAUACUGCCGUGACUUGAGUCCAGUAGAGGAGCGUGGAAUUCCUGGUGUAGCGGUGAAAUGCGCAGAUAUCAGGAGGAACACCAAUGGCGAAGGCAGCUCGCUGGAACGGAACUGACGCUGAGGCGCGAAAGCGUGGGGAGCGAACAGG